This 889-nucleotide long non-coding RNA is filed under the name Triticum aestivum (bread wheat). Its description in RNAcentral is "long non-coding RNA (TAES_LNC025778)". Lineage: Eukaryota; Viridiplantae; Streptophyta; Magnoliopsida; Poales; Poaceae. The record is from RNAcentral.
CUGCAGUCUGGCGUUUGGCAUUUUGGCUUGGUCUAUGAAGACUACAGAUUUCUGUGGAAGAUCAAAAUACCUCCUAAAAUCAGAAUGUUCCUUUGGUUGGUGCUGAGGGAAAGCAUUUUAAUUAGAGACUUCUGCUGAAUAGGGGUGGAAAAUGUGAAUCGGGUUGUCUUUUCUGUGGCCACAAAGACUCGAUAAAUCAUCUGUUUUGCUUAGUACAUUUGGAAUGUGAUCCAGUGUAGUCUGGGGGUUGAAUGUAGGUUCACAGAUGCAAAAGCCUGUUUUAAUGGAUGGCUUAAAGGGAUGCACUCCCAGUGGGUGUAGCAGCUGUUCUCUGGGGGAUUUGGAAAGCGAGGAACUUGGCGUGCUUUAAUCAUAAAUGGCCUGUUGAUCUGUCUAUUGUUAUGUUUCGAGUUGCCUAUUGGAUUACUGACUGGAGUGUCUUGCAGGUGUCGGAGGACGCAAAACUGUUACUUCUGGAGCAAGUCGCGGCUGAAGUUUAUGGCGUCAAAAGAAGCUGGGCGAUGGGAGCUGAUGCUGGGAUUGUGAUGUCUUAGGAUUGUGUUUGGGCUGCGUUAAUUUUUGUUAGUGUUCAUGUUGUGUUUCCGUCCUUGUUAGACUUUCCGGCUAUCGGCAUGUUGCUGGAGUUAAUUUCCUAGGCUGCUGUUCAACUAGGGUCUAUCUUCUCCCCUGGGUCGGUUCGAUCUCAGGGUCACUACACCACGGUUGUUAAUUGAAGGCAUUUUUCUAAGGGCAGUUUGUAAAUGCCUCAAAUUCGCGCUCAAAGGUGGCGUUUUAGGAAAAUGCCUCGGAUUGAUGCAGCUUUGGAGGCGUUCUAGAAAAGUGCCUCGGUUGAUCCAGCUUUUGGAGGCACUUUUGGAAAGCGCCUUGG